Molecule: long non-coding RNA, 640 nt
Organism: Vidua chalybeata
Lineage: Eukaryota; Metazoa; Chordata; Aves; Passeriformes; Viduidae
Exons: 5
Source: RefSeq, a predicted model, not a curated record
CUCAGUCAGUCCUUGAAAUGACCACUUUAGGUCCAGCAUUCAAAGUGUAUCUAAAACCACAGCAAUUAAACCCAAGCCAGCACAAGUGUGAACACAGCCAGAGAGAAAAGUUAAUCCCAGCAUCUUGAAUGCAGCAUUACCUAAAGGCUGAUGAUAUAGAAAUAAUUGAAACCUACCGUGGCACUUUCGAUAGGAUGGAUUAACCGCUGAUGAGCUUGUAGGAUUUUUGACACACGUGGCGCUCCAGCCAGCAGCCAUGUCAUGGAUGGAUGCAUUCACUGUGGAAGUGGAACCAAUACAAAGUAUGAGGUGAAAGGAUGCUCUCCACAGCAGCCAUUUUUUUUUUCCCUUUGCAUCUCUAAAAUGGCCUAACUGUAUUUUGGGGAUGGGUUUUUGUACCAACCCUGAGCUCUGCCAAGGAAUGCUGGAGGUCCUGCCAAAGCCUGUUGUGGAGCGCUGGAAGAGAGAGUCUGGGAGAAGAAGGAGCUGAGUGGCUCCGUCGGCCUUCGCCUGGCCCCGGGCACUGCAGUUCUCCCAGAACACAACAGAGCCUUGUCCAGCCCUGAAUGACAAGCAGUUCUAUAUUAAGGGAAACAUGAAAACACAGCUUAUUAGAAGCCACAGGGUUGAUUGAAAGCGU